Oncorhynchus masou masou (cherry salmon) is the source of this 2017-nucleotide RNA transcript. It is a transcript of the gene named vasodilator-stimulated phosphoprotein-like, with no coding region annotated. The transcript is spliced from 12 exons. Lineage: Eukaryota; Metazoa; Chordata; Actinopteri; Salmoniformes; Salmonidae. The record is from RefSeq and is a predicted model, not a curated record.
CUGCACCGCACCAAAAGCCGGAUGGGAAUACUAGGUUAGCUAGCUAACUAACAAGCAAAUGUUAUCUAUAGUUAUAUUCACGAAACAUGAAUUGCUGGGCAGGUAUUCAUCUAUAAAUGUUAGUAAAUCAGUAAAUAGUAUUAGCUGACUUACAUACGUUGAAGAUUGCUAGCUACCACAAGCCAGAAAAUCUGAUUUGUUUUCAGAAGCAAAAAAAGUGACAACGGAGUGCAUGAGGGAGGCAACUGGCUGACAACGCCUUAGCUAACAUUCUGUGGGCUACCUUGAUAACUAAUGCCAAUCAGCUAUAAGGACAGGUAUAAAACCUCUGAUGGGUCUUUUAACAAAGAGAUAGAGGACUCGUGUGAUGACUUCCACCCACCAUGGAGCUCUCCUUGUGUUCUCUGUCAGUUCUGAUGCUAGUGGCUGUUGUGUUCAUGGUACCAAUGAAAGACAGAAGUGACGAUGUGUUAAGCUUUUUGAAUGGUGCACUUGAUGUUGCUCCCGCUACUCAAAGCACCUCAGGAAAAAUCAAAGGUCCCCAAAACCCCUCUGGUAAACCAGCUCCAACCCCAGGUCCCCAAAACCCCUCUGGUAAACCAGCUCCAACCCUAGGUCCCCAAAACCCCUCUGGUAAACCAGCUCCAACCCCAGGUCCCCAAAACCCCUCUGGUAAACCAGCUCCAACCCCAGCAAGACCAAGUCCUUUAAGACCAACAGAGAACUCUGCAGAUGUUGUAGGCUCAGAUGACAGAUUCAAAGAGAAAUGCAACUCCGAUGAUCUUACAGAUGCAGAACGAUCUGAAAGUAACUCAGCAGAAAGCAGAGAGGAUUAUGAUGACUCUCUGGGAUCUAAUACAAAGAUUACACAAACUGUGACAGACGACAGUAGCAGCGACGAGACUGACAGUUCUCCUCCAAGUGAUGUGAGAAAAUACAAACAACCUCCAGGAAGGAGAACCAUAAACCCAGACCAUGUUGACAGCAUGCAGACAACCACCAGGCAGACAACCACCAGGCAGGAUCCAACCAAUGGGAGCGAGGUGCUGGAUAGAGCGGCUCAGAGGGACCCCACAGUGGGGAGAGAGAGAACCAGCAGAGUGCUCAUUGAUCUCAACAGUGAAGAGGAUGUGAUGGUGGGGUGUCAGGUUACUGUCUGUGUGCCCGGAGAGCAGGGGACUACAGUCAAUGGAGGUGAAAAUGAUGAGAAUACAAGUCUAAACAGUAGAGAUAGAGAUAUCCAAAGCCAAGAGGUCACAGGCACAGCCCCGGAGCAGGCCCUACGUAGGGAUAGUUGUAGGGGUGUAGUGAAUGGAGUGUUGGACACAGCCAGAGAACAGCAGGACUUGGACAGUAUGGAGCAUGUCAAUGGUAGACCCAAUGGAGUAGAGUAGAGGUUCAUCUGGCUUCUAUUCUACCAUGAUUCCAAACUACGGGUUUACAAAAAUGAAGAUCCACAGCAGAAUUCUUUAACUACUGAACCUAUAUUAUUGAAAAAUAUCUGAAUGAUUGCUUUCUAUCCUAACAGAAACCAGAGAUGACAUCAGCACUGAGACGAACCCAGUCGUGAUUGGAUAGCCUCCAGGAGCCCCAGCCAGGAGCCCCAGCCAGGAGCUCCAGCCAGGAGCCUGUCAUUGCCAGAGGCUUCCUCCAGGUAGAGUUGGCUCAGCUCUACCCUGCAGGGCCUGUAAAUCUCCCUGCCUCUCACUCGUGUGUCGUCUCCCUCAAGCUCCACCGACUCUACCAGACCGCAGAGUCCCUCUCACACUUAUAUUCAUGACAGAGACGUCAGUACAUCUGUGGAUAUUUACCACCAAUUUUUCACUUGAUCUUGAUCUUACUGCCGGUAGGCAAUUUGAAUUGUGGGUGAAUGGAAAUAAGAUGUUUGGCUCCAAUCUGAUCUGAUCAAUCUGAUGAAAUAAAGGUUUCUCAAAAAGCAUUGUUUGUUGUACUAAUUCGAGGUAAUUCAAUAAAAGGCUGUGUAUACAUGCACAUUCACAAUUGUAAGGAAAGACAA